This 1960-nucleotide long non-coding RNA is filed under the name Marmota monax (woodchuck). Lineage: Eukaryota; Metazoa; Chordata; Mammalia; Rodentia; Sciuridae. The record is from RNAcentral.
CUUGGCAUCACUUUUAUCAGCUCAAAGGCUGAACCAAAAAGCAGUGUCAUUUAUUCUAAGAAAUAACUUCUUAAAGGUUAAAGCUGAAAAAUAUUCAAGUUAUUUUUGGAUAACAACUUACAGAGGUAAAUAUAAUCAAGGACUACUUUAUUAUGCAGGUCCAGGGUUAAAAAUUAAAAAGAAGAGAAGAGGAGCUUUGGAGCUGUUGUUUGAAAGAGAGCUAUUUGAAAAUUGAAAUCUACUAGGAAAGAAAAUGCUAAUAUCUUUUAUCUACCAUGUGUAAAUCUUAAGUUACAGUAGAUAAGUCUAGACACAAUAACCCUAAUUUAAAAAAAAAAUUAAAAGAAGCCAGCUCAAUUACUGCAGUUCUGGGAUUUUUCACUGACAUCACCUUUGGGAUACAGAUACUAAUACAGUGAUCCACUUUAUGUAUCCCAAGAGGGCAUGUCACAUUGAAAUGACUGCCUCAAAUCCUGGUUCAAUGGUGAUGCUGAACAACAAGUCUUCCCUGUGUAUCUGUCCAUCUAUGCCUUUUCUCAGAUGGUGGCUUUAAUAUUCUACUAAUCCACAUGAAAGCUCUUGUUUUUGCACAGGAAUUUCUUAUCAGUUCACAUGGUAGCCUCUGAAAAGGCAAGUAGGGGCAUUUGGGAGAUGAUGUUCCAUCUGGAACAAAUUAUCAUUUGUGCUUUUAAAAUUGUGGCUAUAAUUUAUUGUAAUUACUUUUUACAUUUAAGAGAAAAGAAAUAAUGUGGUGACAGCUGCUCCCAGAUUAUCAGAUUAGAUUUUGUGUGAUGUUUACUGCAGACAGAAGACUGAGGGAGAGAAACGUUUGUACAGAUUGAUUAAAAAUGUUUCAAUGAUUAACAUUUAGGUUAUAAUAUUUUAAACCCCAUGUUUUCCUUCUUCAUUUGAUAGAAUGAUAAUGGUUGUGGAGGAAACCCUGGUGGAUAAAUUAGGGCAUUCCUAUUAAUAAUCUAUUAAAUGUUAUUUUUAAAUUGAAUGUUGAGAAUUUGACCAUUGUGAUGGGCCACGUGAGGGCGCUGUUCACACAGCAACAGAUAAUUUCCCAGCGUUAUAAAAUAAAAAUUACCUGCCCUUUUUUAUAAAAAGGAUUUUUUUUUCACUGAAAUCUUGAAAACAGCUGGCUGUAAUAUUGGAAGGAGUUUAUUUUUUCAAUGCUUGUAGACUCCGACUUGCAUUUUACUUUCAUUGCCAUUUUACAGGCCAAAUGACAUAGGAUGAAGGCUGUUCGUAACCUGCUGAUUUAUAUAUUUUCCACCUAUCUCCUGGUUAUGUUUGGAUUUAAUGCUGCCCAAGACUUUUGGUGUUCAACUUUGGUGAAGGGAGUCAUUUAUGGAUCGUACUCUGUAAGUGAAAUGUUUCCCAAAAACUUUACAAACUGCACUUGGACGCUGGAAAAUCCAGAUCCAACCAAAUAUAGCAUUUACCUGAAAUUUUCCAAAAAGGACCUUAGCUGCUCUAACUUUUCCCUCCUGGCUUACCAGUUUGAUCAUUUUUCCCAUGAAAAAAUAAAGGAUCUUUUAAGAAAGAAUCAUUCUAUAAUGCAACUCUGCAAUUCCAAGAAUGCUUUUGUUUUUCUACAAUAUGAUAAAAAUUUUAUUCAAAUACGUCGGGUAUUUCCAUCUGAUUUCCCAGGAUUACAGAAAAAAGGGGAAGAAGAUCAGAAAUCUUUUUUUGAGUUUUUGGUAUUGAACAAAGUGAGCCCAAGCCAGUUUGGUUGCCAUGUAUUAUGCACUUGGUUGGAGAGCUGCUUAAAAUCAGAAAAUGGGAGAACAGAAUCAUGUGGGAUCAUGUAUACAAAAUGCACCUGCCCUCAGCAUUUGGGAGAGUGGGGGAUCGAUGACCAGUCCCUGGUUUUGUUAAAUAACGUCGUGUUGCCCUUGAAUGAGCAGACAGAGGGCUGCCUGACCCAGGAGCUGCAAACCACUCAAGUCUGCAA